UUAAGUAGCGAUAGCGAAGGGGAUACACCUGUUCCCAUCUCGAACACAGAAGUUAAGUCCUUCAGCGCUGAAAAUACUUGCCGGGCAGCUGGCUGGGAAGAUAAGACGUUGCUUAUU
RNAcentral lists this ribosomal RNA (117 nucleotides) under Fusibacter sp. A1. The record is from RNAcentral. RNAcentral also lists the same sequence under 1 other name. Lineage: Bacteria; Bacillati; Bacillota; Clostridia; Eubacteriales; Fusibacteraceae.